This 497-nucleotide ribosomal RNA is filed under the name uncultured bacterium. RNAcentral's name for it is "partial 16S ribosomal RNA". It matches the Rfam family "Bacterial small subunit ribosomal RNA", at positions 28 to 507 of the family's 1533-position model. The record is from RNAcentral.
GACGAACGCUGGCGGCGUGCCUAAUACAUGCAAGUUGAGCGCUGAAGGUUGGUACUUGUACCAACUGGAUGAGCAGCGAACGGGUGAGUAACGCGUGGGGAAUCUGCUUUUGAGCGGGGGACAACAUUUGGAAACGAAUGCUAAUACCGCAUAAAAACUUUAAACACAAGUUUUAAGUUUGAAAGAUGCAAUUGCAUCACUCAAAGAUGAUCCCGCGUUGUAUUAGCUAGUUGGUGAGGUGAAGGCUCACCAAGGCGAUGAUACAUAGCCGACCUGAGAGGGUGAUCGGCCACAUUGGGACUGAGACACGGCCCAAACUCCUACGGGAGGCAGCAGUAGGGAAUCUUCGGCAAUGGACGAAAGUCUGACCGAGCAACGCCGCGUGAGUGAAGAAGGUUUUCGGAUCGUAAAACUCUGUUGGUAGAGAAGAACGUUGGUGAGAGUGGAAAGCUCAUCAAGUGACGGUAACUACCCAGAAAGGGACGGCUAACUACGUG